RNAcentral lists this ribosomal RNA (996 nucleotides) under uncultured bacterium. RNAcentral's name for it is "bacterial SSU rRNA". It matches the Rfam family "Bacterial small subunit ribosomal RNA", at positions 356 to 1376 of the family's 1533-position model. The record is from RNAcentral.
GGGGGAUAUUGCACAAUGGGGGAAACCCUGAUGCAGCGACGCCGCGUGGAGGAAGAAGGUUUUCGGAUUGUAAACUCCUGUCGUUAGGGACGAUAAUGACGGUACCUAACAAGAAAGCACCGGCUAACUACGUGCCAGCAGCCGCGGUAAAACGUAGGGUGCAAGCGUUGUCCGGAAUUACUGGGUGUAAAGGGAGCGCAGGCGGACCGGCAAGUUGGGAGUGAAAACCAUGGGCUCAACCCAUGAAUUGCUUUCAAAACUGCUGGCCUUGAGUAGUGCAGAGGUAGGUGGAAUUCCCGGUGUAGCGGUGGAAUGCGUAGAUAUCGGGAGGAACACCAGUGGCGAAGGCGACCUACUGGGCACCAACUGACGCUGAGGCUCGAAAGCAUGGGUAGCAAACAGGAUUAGAUACCCUGGUAGUCCAUGCCGUAAACGAUGAUUACUAGGUGUUGGAGGAUUGACCCCUUCAGUGCCGCAGUUAACACAAUAAGUAAUCCACCUGGGGAGUACGACCGCAAGGUUGAAACUCAAAGGAAUUGACGGGGGCCCGCACAAGCAGUGGAGUAUGUGGUUUAAUUCGAAGCAACGCGAAGAACCUUACCAGGUCUUGACAUCCGAUGCAUUGUGCAGAGAUGCAUGAAGUCCUUCGGGACAUCGAGACAGGUGGUGCAUGGUUGUCGUCAGCUCGUGUCGUGAGAUGUUGGGUUAAGUCCCGCAACGAGCGCAACCCUUAUUGCCAGUUACUACGCAAGAGGACUCUGGCGAGACUGCCGUUGACAAAACGGAGGAAGGUGGGGAUGACGUCAAAUCAUCAUGCCCUUUAUGACCUGGGCUACACACGUACUACAAUGGCGUUUAACAAAGAGAAGCAAGACCGCGAGGUGGAGCAAAACUCAGAAACAACGUCUCAGUUCAGAUUGCAGGCUGCAACUCGCCUGCAUGAAGUCGGAAUUGCUAGUAAUCGCGGAUCAGCAUGCCGCGGUGAAUACGUUCCCG